UGCUGACACUCUUUCAUGAGCUAUUCAUGCUGCAGACUGGGAGUCGGCCUUAAACCCCUACGUGCUGGCAGUCGAUGCCCAACCAAUCUCGCACCUCUUCUUUGCAAAUGAUUGUCUAUUCGUCGGUCAAACUUCUGAUCAGAAUGCGUUUGGCUUUCAGAGGAUUUUGAAGGAUUAUUGUGCGGCAUUGGUCCAAAAGGCUUUGUUUAGUCUGAGGACGUCGGCC
This 226-nucleotide long non-coding RNA is filed under the name Elaeis guineensis (African oil palm). RNAcentral describes it as "long non-coding RNA (EGUI_LNC023462)". The record is from RNAcentral. Lineage: Eukaryota; Viridiplantae; Streptophyta; Magnoliopsida; Arecales; Arecaceae.